UACGUAGGGUGCAAGCGUUGUCCGGAAUUAUUGGGCGUAAAGAGCUCGUAGGCGGUCUGUCACGUCGGCUGUGAAAACUCGGGGCUCAACUCCGAGCUUGCAGUCGAUACGGGCAGGCUAGAGUUCGGCAGGGGAGACUGGAAUUCCUGGUGUAGCGGUGAAAUGCGCAGAUAUCAGGAGGAACACCGGUGGCGAAGGCGGGUCUCUGGGCCGAUACUGACGCUGAGGAGCGAAAGCGUGGGGAGCAAACAGG
RNAcentral lists this ribosomal RNA (253 nucleotides) under uncultured bacterium. RNAcentral's name for it is "partial 16S ribosomal RNA". It matches the Rfam family "Bacterial small subunit ribosomal RNA", at positions 524 to 776 of the family's 1533-position model. The record is from RNAcentral.